ACACUCUCUCUUUCUCAUUCUCCUUUCCCUCCUCUCCAUCUCCCUAUUGCAUUGUGUCUGACUGAUUUUCAGAGCACCUUCGCUGUUUCCCCCUUCUCGUUCCCUUCUCAUAAAAUAUCUAGACAGGAAGGAGGUGGCUGCAGAGGCUGAACAAUCUCAUAUUCUGCCUGCAAUGUCAUCGUUUCUUUCCCCCAUUUUAGGGGGCUGAAGUUGCCCAGCAAGGGAUGCAGAGGAGCUGGAAAAGAAGGGGGGAGCUCUCCAGAGGCAGCUGCGGUCAGGGGCAGGGACUGCCGCCAGAUGUGCCUGCCUUUCUGGGCUUUGAUGAGAAAGGGGCAGCAGGAGGAAAUAUUGGGAGACAAAAGCCCCGGUUUAAAUGAUCAUUUUCUUUAUUUAACAUGGCAGCAGACACUCUCUGCGUAGGAUCAUCAUGCCGAGCAUAAACUGGACUUUCCCACUUGCCUGGCAGGAGUCACACAGAUCCCUGCGUGCUAAAUGAACAUCUGAGACCCUUGAAUCCUGACUAUUGGAGAAACAGCACCAUAUUUUGGAUACUGAUUCAGACCAUAUACAGCCUUCUGGAGAAUCUUGCCCCAGUCCUGAAAGGUUUUGGUAUCAGGAUGAUGCUGGCAUCAUAAAAUGAGUAUUUUUCUUCAGACUUCAGACUGCUGUGCUGGAAGCAAGAAUUUCAAGCAUUGGAUCUUAGCUUGCUGGGCUCCAUAGGGGUGGGAUCCACUGAGCUAGACCACUUGGCUCCCUGGCUUCAGCCCCCUUCCAGAUGUCCUUGGCGUGUACACCCUGUGGAAUCUGGUUCAUCUUCAAUCUGUCAGAAGGCAUCAGAGGUGGUUUUGACUCCUUAUGUCUUGGACCUGUGCACAAAAAGUGUAAAAUGGAUGGAACAUCAGACAGCUCAUUAUAGAGACAAGUAAGCUCCAGUUCCAAAGUUGGUUGACAGAACAAGUCAUGACCUUGUGUGGAGGAAAAUGAGAUCCCGAGUGAAGUCUACAAUGUCAUUGACUCUGAAGAAGGACUCAGAGACCCAUUGGUGUUUAAUGACCCUUACUGGCCUAUGCAAUGGAAACUGAUCUUGAGUGUGCCUUAAAAUUCCAUUUCAUGGAGAACUGUGCGUGGUUGAAUUUUGAUUGAUUACUCAAUUAACUGAUGUAUUGGUAGAGUGAUUAAGAAAGAAGACUUUGGGAUCAGACCAACCUGGUUUUGAAUUCAAGCUCAGCAACUUACUAGGUGAGUAACCUCUAAACCCACAUUAAGCCUUUUUUCUAUCCAUAAAAUGGAGAUACUAACAUUGCUUGUCUUGUUUGGCUGUUAUGAUGACAAAAUCAGAAAAUAUGAAUAAAA
This is a long non-coding RNA of Homo sapiens (human), 1353 nucleotides long. The record is from Ensembl. Lineage: Eukaryota; Metazoa; Chordata; Mammalia; Primates; Hominidae.